GACGAACGCUGGCGGCGUGCUUAACACAUGCAAGUCGAACGGAAAGGCCCUGCUUGCAGGGUACUCGAGUGGCGAACGGGUGAGUAACACGUGGGUGAUCUGCCCUGCACUUCGGGAUAAGCCUGGGAAACUGGGUCUAAUACCGGAUAGGAGCCAUUUUUAGUGUGAUGGUUGGAAAGUUUUUUCGGUGUAGGAUGAGCUCGCGGCCUAUCAGCUUGUUGGUGGGGUAAUGGCCUACCAAGGCGGCGACGGGUAGCCGGCCUGAGAGGGUGGACGGCCACAUUGGGACUGAGAGAAGGCACAGACACCUACGGGAGGCAGAAGUGGGGAAUAUUGCACAAUGGGCGCAAGCCUGAUGCAGCGACGCCGCGUGGGGGAUGACGGCCUUAGGGUUGUAAACUCAUUUCGCUAGGGACGAAGCUUUUUGUGACGGUACCUAGAUAAGAAGCACCGGCUAACUACGUG
RNAcentral lists this ribosomal RNA (465 nucleotides) under uncultured bacterium. RNAcentral describes it as "partial 16S ribosomal RNA". It matches the Rfam family "Bacterial small subunit ribosomal RNA", at positions 28 to 507 of the family's 1533-position model. The record is from RNAcentral.